GGAAAUGGACUGUUGUGCUUGAAGGCUAGAAGCUUAUAGGCUGUGCAAUAGCUUUCAUCCAUAACAGGGAAGACUAAAAGGGAACAUUUUCCUAAUAUUUUGUGAAGAAAUGACAAAAUCUGAGAAUCUCCCCACCACCACCACAUCAGUUCUUUUUACAGGUUUAACCUCUAACAAAUGGACUGCUUUAAAAAUGACAAAAUGCCUUCAUACCUAUGGAGAAAAAAAUGAUUUCCACAGAUCCCAACUGAAUCCACAUGAGGUAGCAAUUAAGGCAGAUCUGUGUAAAAGUACCAUACAGAGAGACCAUAAUGAUAAAAUAUGAUAGACUCUACAGCCAGAUCCUGUUGCUCACUGGCAACAUAAGAGGUACAUGGAUCCUCCCACUUGAUUUUCUUGGGGACAGAGGUUGAAAUAAAGGCUUGCUGGAUUAUGGGGGAAAUGAAUGGGCCUAAAUAUCUGCUGCCUUUUAUUGAAGAGAAAUCUGUUUUACACACAGUCAUUUGGGCCCUACCUACCCUCUUGUUGGGAAGAAGUAAAAUGAAUGAAGGUUACUUUUGAAUGUCAGAACAGUAGUUGGUUCAUAAAUCUGAACUUUGUAUUGCAUUUUAAUGGACCUAGAAAUCAAAAGCAAGAUUAAUUUCUGAAUGGAAUGUUUACAGGCUCUAUCUGCAUUCAGAAAACUAAGAACUCAAAUUGGUUUGAAGGUAGAGGUAGGGGUGGGAAUAAUUGUUCUUUUUUCUCUCUUUGACUCCUCUUAUCCACUGUAAGGCUGUAACAUGA
Molecule: long non-coding RNA, 783 nt
Organism: Rhineura floridana
Lineage: Eukaryota; Metazoa; Chordata; Lepidosauria; Squamata; Rhineuridae
Exons: 3
Source: RefSeq, a predicted model, not a curated record